This 88-nucleotide transfer RNA is filed under the name Acidobacteriota bacterium. RNAcentral describes it as "Acidobacteria bacterium tRNA-Leu". It matches the Rfam family "tRNA". From Rfam's summary of the family: Transfer RNA (tRNA) molecules are approximately 80 nucleotides in length. Their secondary structure includes four short double-helical elements and three loops (D, anti-codon, and T loops). RNAcentral also lists the same sequence under 2 other names. Lineage: Bacteria; Pseudomonadati; Acidobacteriota. The record is from RNAcentral.
GCCGAAGUGGCGGAACUUGGCAGACGCACUAGAUUCAGGAUCUAGCGGUGGCAACACCGUCGGGGUUCGAAUCCCCGCUUCGGCACCA